UACGAAGGGAGCUAGCGUUGCUCGGAAUUACUGGGCGUAAAGGGCGCGUAGGCGGAUGUUUAAGUCAGAGGUGAAAGCCCAGGGCUCAACCCUGGAAUUGCCUUUGAUACUGGGCAUCUUGAGUAUGGGAGAGGUGAGUGGAAUUCCCGGUGUGGCGGUGAAAUGCGUAGAUAUCGGGAGGAACACCUGUGGCGAAAGCGGCUCACUGGACCACAACUGACGCUGAGGCACGAAAGCUAGGGGAGCAAACAGG
Molecule: ribosomal RNA, 253 nt
Filed under: uncultured prokaryote
Description: partial 16S ribosomal RNA
Rfam family: Bacterial small subunit ribosomal RNA
Source: RNAcentral